UUAUGGAGAUGUAUAGCAAUAGCUGAUUGCACCAACAAACAGUUGAUGCAAAAUUGAUUAUAUCAAAUAAAAUUCUAGGUAGAUUUUUGAUAAUGACAUUGCUUACCUAAGUCUUGACCAAAUUACGUGCCAGCAGUCGCGGUAAUACGUAAAAGACUAGUGUUAUUCAUCUUUAAUUGGUUUAAAGGGUACCUAGACAGCGAAUAAAGCCAUUGUAGGGACUAAUACGCUAGAGUUACUUAUGAGGGGGUAUUAAAGUACUGCAGGUGUAGAGAUGAAAUUUUGUUAUACCUCUUUUCGUAUGAGAAACUAUGGCACAGGUAUAGGUGAAAGCAUCCCCUUAUGUGAUAACUGACGUUGAGGGACGAAGGCUUUGUGUCGCGAACAGGAUUAGAUACCCCAAUAGUCAAAGCAGAAAAUGAUGAAUGUCAUAGAUUAGAUAUACAAUUUAUUCGAGGGAUGAAAGUGUAAGCAUUCCACCUCAAGAGUAAGGGGGGGGGGGUUGGAACUGAAAUCAUUAUACCGUUUCUGAAACCAGUAA
Molecule: ribosomal RNA, 541 nt
Filed under: Cladonia mitis
Lineage: Eukaryota; Fungi; Ascomycota; Lecanoromycetes; Lecanorales; Cladoniaceae
Description: SSU rRNA
Rfam family: Bacterial small subunit ribosomal RNA (bases 1-481)
Source: RNAcentral